AAUUGCAGUUGCAAACAUAGCAAUUCACAAAUAUCCAUUUCCUAACACACACUUCAAUCAAUCUAAAUCAACUUUUAAUUUCAAAUAGAUAAGUUUCCCAGCAAUAAUUUAAAUUGUUAGCUGCUCUGGUCUAGAGAGAAGACAUUCUGUAUUCACAAAAUUCAAAUCAAUAUAAAAAGUAGGGGAUGGGGGAUUUGAUGGAUAUAGUUGUAACCAAAAAUAUUUUUUAUUUCACAUCUCACUACGAAUAUUAGUAAUUUAAUGAAAUUAAGCACCUGAUUUUUUAGCUCGUAAGGGGAACUCCAAUCUGGUGAAACAUUUGAAUUACUAAACAUGUUCAUCACUAAUUAAAAAUCAAAGCAAUAUAAUUUAAACAACUAGUGACAAAAUAGAACCUUUUGAACUAAAAACUCAAAUUUUAUUUUUCAGAAAAAGAAAUCACAUUCCUCCACAGAGUGGUUAGUAACAAAACUUGAUUAAUACUGUUUUUAUUAAUUUUCAGUUAACAAAAAACAAUAGUAAGUGGUCAUCUGCCACAGUGAUGGAGAGGAGUGGCUCUCUAAUCUAACAUCUUAUCUAACAAAUCUAUAGUUUGAACCAUGAGCUGGUGGCCCAAUGGUAAAUGGCGGAUUGCGAGGUUUUCUUCAAACUAAAAACUAAAGGUCUAGGGUUCGAAACCCACUGCUGGUGUGGAAGCUAAAUUUGUGGUCAAGAGAAGGUUGAAAUGCUUUUGUGAGUCUUCCCGGUCCUUGGAAGAGGUGGAUAAUUGUGGGUCUUCCUGAUCCUUGGAAGAGGUGGAUAACCGUAACUUAGCCACCAGUUAUCUCCCUUUUUAAAUAAGAAAAAAAUAUCUAUCAUUUGAAAAAAAAAAAAAAAAAAAAAAAAAACAAUAUAGUACACAACUAUGAUCUACGUACACAUGUUUGCCAGAUAUAUAAAAGAAACCUAGUACAAGUUGAUCCUUUCUACAUUUUCAUCAAAUUAGUCGAGGUCCUCUUGGGGGUCGAGUAGACUGGGGAGGUGUUGAACGGGAAAACCCUUAAUAAAUAAGCCUCUUGCGGGUUGCACAAGGUUUGAUGUUAACCCUAGUAUGGGGAGGCAUUCCAAAUUGCAAUAUUGUGGGGAGGGCUUGUUUGGGGACGCCCCCUUGUGUUUUUCUUCUUGGCUAAGAAAAUAAGUUAAUAUUAUGGGGAGGGCUUUGUGGGGAAGCACAGCGAUAUAGAAAGAAAUGAUUUUGGAUUUUAGCUUUCUUGACCUUGACUUUGUCAGUGCUUUGUUCAAAUCCAACUCUCGUACUUAAUCCAAGUUGCAUUUUCAUAUUCUUUAAUGGUCAACUUCUAUCCAUAAAUAUCCUCCUACAUGCAUGAUGUUGGCAAACCAGAAGUUUGAUAAAGUAGAACAGGAAAAAUAUGAAGAAUGAUGUGGGGAAAUUCAACUAAUAACGUAUUUACCAUAAAAAAUUUAUAGUUGGAGCCAUGAGAUGUCAUAAUUUUCAUUUAAAAUUAUCCCUAAAAAAGAUCAUUUGAAUCGGAAAUCGUUUAGUCAUCCAAAUGUAUUAAACAAAUUGAUAGUUCAUCAUGCAUAUGUUAUUUGGUAAUCAUAUUGUCAAUUUGUUUCUACAUUUAGAUGCAUAAACGAUCUCCAGUUCAAAUGAUUUUUUUUCAAAGAUAAUCUUAAAAUGAAAAAUAAGAAAGUGAACGAUUUCGAUUAUAAAAUUUAUAAAUAUCAGUUUACUACCCUCAUGUUUCGUGGUUUUCAACAUUUAGUACAUCAAGUUUUUUU
This 1782-nucleotide long non-coding RNA is filed under the name Malus domestica (apple). RNAcentral's name for it is "long non-coding RNA (MDOM_LNC002088)". Lineage: Eukaryota; Viridiplantae; Streptophyta; Magnoliopsida; Rosales; Rosaceae. The record is from RNAcentral.